RNAcentral lists this long non-coding RNA (1320 nucleotides) under Triticum aestivum (bread wheat). RNAcentral describes it as "long non-coding RNA (TAES_LNC021961)". The record is from RNAcentral. Lineage: Eukaryota; Viridiplantae; Streptophyta; Magnoliopsida; Poales; Poaceae.
CGGAAUUUCUCUUUCCCUCUCUUAGCUAAUUAGUAAUAUGCUUUUGAAUUUUCCUUUAGAUUACAAUCAUUGCUUGAUUCGAAUUCUGCUCGAUAUCCCUUCUUUGUAUUGUUUUUUCUAUAUAUUUUUACAAGUCGCAACAAUUGUAUGUAUAAAAUUGGGGCUAGUAAGUUAAACCUUAUUGAAAUAUAUUUAUAUGUAUGCGUUUUGGCAAAACAUGGGGCAUCAGCUAUUGUUUGAAGUUGUAAUUACGUAUACUUCAUUGGCUUCACAAUUUUGAUUCCUCACUAGUUUUAAUUGUUAAAUGCAGAUAGUAUGGACCAGGUUCUUCUCAAAAGAAAGGCACCAUCACAUUCCCAAUUAGGUAUCAUUGACAUCCUUUUCAAGUAAUUUUGUCGCACUAUAUUAAGCAGUUUGACUAUUGCCUUUUGUUUUUGUAAAUUGACGUCUAUUAUAUCUGGUAAUUCAUGUUAAAAGUUAUGAAACACAUCUUUAUUAGUGCAUUGUUGCUUGAAAAUUUUAUGUCAUAGUUAAGUAGUGCAUCUGGGUCACAUUAGCUCCAGAUCCGCCCCUGCAUGUACGGUCGGCCGCAGCAUGCCUCAUUGGUUGCCGUACAACCAAGUAACCAUUGGUGACAGCCUCGAAUGGCUUUCUCUGCUCGAAGAUAUGAUUUCCGGCAUGGAGGUCAACAACGAUGGGGCACAAUCGCCGCUUUUCUCUGCACCGCCUUGCCAAUAAUCUAAGCAAGCACUCCUUUCACUUGUUGUAUGUAGCCUGGGAUGUACUUUCUUGUUUGGUUUUGUUAUUGGUACUGGUUUGUUUUGUGAGUAAUUAUUUGUAGUGGUUAUCAAGGGAGAGAAGAAGGGAGCGAGGGAGCGAAUGAGCGGUUCUACUAUGUUCUAACACUUUCAUUUGAUUUUAGGUGUAUGGAUGGAUGGCAGCGUUUGCUUGAUAUACAACUGAAGGAUGUGUGUAGCUUUUUACUCUGCUCGACAAUUGGAUGUUCCAGGCUGACAUAAUUAAAUGAGGCUUAGUAUUCAGGACAAAGUUAUGAACGAUGGUUGACUUAGCUAGGAUUCAAAAUUCAAUAAUAUAGUAUACUUUGGUCAUAGUAUGCGAGACAAUUGGAUUAUCAUUAAAUUAAUUUCAUUACAACAAAGUUAUUGCCAUUAAAGUUUGAGUGGAACUAUUUAUAGUUCAUGAUUUUAAGAAAAAUCAUAAAUAUGAAAUUUUCAAGGAAAAUCAUAUGACCUGGUUAGCCCAUAAAUUUGAAGUGUUAGACGAGGGGAAAAGAUGAUGGAUAGUAAGAGGAAGUGGGAC